This 492-nucleotide ribosomal RNA is filed under the name uncultured bacterium. RNAcentral's name for it is "partial 16S ribosomal RNA". It matches the Rfam family "Bacterial small subunit ribosomal RNA", at positions 29 to 507 of the family's 1533-position model. The record is from RNAcentral.
AGUGAACGCUGGCGGUAGGCCUAACACAUGCAAGUCGAACGGCAGCACAGUAAGAGCUUGCUCUUACGGGUGGCGAGUGGCGGACGGGUGAGGAAUACAUCGGAAUCUACUUUUUCGUGGGGGAUAACGUAGGGAAACUUACGCUAAUACCGCAUACGACCUACGGGUGAAAGCAGGGGAUCUUCGGACCUUGCGCGAUUGAAUGAGCCGAUGUCGGAUUAGCUAGUUGGCGGGGUAAAGGCCCACCAAGGCGACGAUCCGUAGCUGGUCUGAGAGGAUGAUCCGCCACACUGGAACUGAGACACGGGCCAGACUCCUACGGGAAGCAGCAGGGGGGAAUAUUGGACCAUGGGCGGAAGCCUGAUCCAGGCAUACCGCGUGGGUGAAGAAGGCCCUCCGGUUGGAAAACCCUUUUGUUGGGAAAGAAAAGCAGCAGGGUAAUACCCCGCUGUUCUGACGGUAACCAAAGAAUAAGCACCGGCUAACUUCGUG